Molecule: long non-coding RNA, 310 nt
Filed under: Cyanistes caeruleus (blue tit)
Lineage: Eukaryota; Metazoa; Chordata; Aves; Passeriformes; Paridae
Description: lncRNA (ENSCCEG00000007445.1)
Source: RNAcentral
GCCAUGGUGUGCCCAGCAGGGCUCCUGUGCCCGAGGGGACAGGCAGAUGUCCCAGAUGCCACCACCAACGCCUGCCCUCAGGGACACUUCUGUCCCCAGGGAGAUGCUGCUCAGCCUUGCCCCAAUGGCACCUAUGGUGAGCACAGGGGGCUGAGCAGCGCUGCUGGAUGCUCACCCUGCCCUGCAGGGAAGUUCUGCUACUCUGAUGGGCCAGAGCCUUCAGGAAUUCCUCACCCUUGCAGGCUGGGAAAGACAGUUCAAAGGUGAAGAAUUGCUGCUGCUCCUCUUCUAAUGAGUUUUGGGAUUUUUC